This is a long non-coding RNA of Sapajus apella (tufted capuchin), 1075 nucleotides long. RefSeq lists it as uncharacterized. The transcript is spliced from 3 exons. Lineage: Eukaryota; Metazoa; Chordata; Mammalia; Primates; Cebidae. The record is from RefSeq and is a predicted model, not a curated record.
UUAUGCCACUUUUAUUAAAAAUGAGUUGGCAUUCAAACUUUUGAAAAUUUUAUAAUUUUUAUUUUUUUAGAACAUGAAGAAAAUACACUAAUGUAGUUAAGGGAAAAUGUCUUCUUUUACAUUGACAAAAUUGUGUAUGAAACUCUUGGUGACUUGGAAUUUUACUUAAUUUUUGAGCCAUGUUUGGCAAUGAAAAACAGUUGUUUUUUUUUUAAAAAAAGAGAUUUUUCAAAAUGCCAUUAACAGUCUGAAUUUUUACUUCAGGCAUUUGGGUUGUCUUUACAUUGAAAACCAUGAAAAUUAUGUUUUAUAGUUUUCCACUUAUAUUUUAAUGCACAUGUUAGGCUAAUAAUUAAAAUUAUUUUGCAGAUACAUGGAAAAUGUGGUAUCUUAAGGUACUGACCCUCAACACAUCCUCAGAAUUAUUAUACACAACCUCUAAGAGAUCCUUCCUCUUUUCUACUGCCUUGUCUUAGAAACAUUUUAGAAUAUUUGAUUAUUUUAUAAAUUAAAUUGGAUUAUGGCUUGAUACUUUUCUGAAGAUGUUCAUGGUUCUGGUGGAUUGCUGCGAUGAGUAGGCUGUGAAAUCCUGCUUUCCUCGGAACUAAAUGCUUUUGCUUUGCAUUUGUAUCUUCCUGCAGAUACAUCCCUGAUUACUUUCUCUGAGACCCUGCUAGCAUGAGUGAGCAAAGACUCUGAAAAAAAAAAAAAAAAAAAAAAAAAAGGAAAGACUAAGAAGAAAAAUAAGGAGAUCAAGAAAAUGGAGCAGAAUCUGGACAGAGACGCCUGCCACGUGUUGCUACUCUUGCCUUGAGAGGAAGGAAGGAAGACUAAGUAGUAGCAAGAGGCCAGAGAAUAAGCUGGUGGUAAAGUGUGUGUAAGUGCAGAGGCAGGAGGCAAGAGGGUAGCAGGCUGGAGGAAGACCACUCUCCUUAUCUUCCAGACGACCUGCGCUUGGAGCCAACACUCUUAGAAAGGGUCUCACUCAUCAACCAAGCUGGAGUGGCAUGAACAUGGCUCGCUGCAGCCUCAACCUCCUGUGUUCAAGUGAUCCUCCCAUUCAGCCUCCCGAGUA